This is a non-coding RNA of Sphingobium chungbukense, 2811 nucleotides long. The record is from Rfam. NCBI's taxonomy places the organism in Bacteria, Pseudomonadati, Pseudomonadota, Alphaproteobacteria, Sphingomonadales, Sphingobiaceae.
CAAGCGUGAGGUAAGGGCAUCUGGUGAAUGCCUUGGCAUGUACAGGCGAUGAAGGACGUGGCACGCUGCGAUAAGCGUGGGGGAGCUGUGAGCAAGCUUUGAUCCCGCGAUUUCCGAAUGGGACAACCCACCUUCACCAUUUAAUUCCGUUGUUGGCGGUUCUUUCGGGAGCUGGCAGCCGCGUAGUUAAAUGGGAGAGGUAUCACUAAGCUGAAUAAAAUAGGCUUUGGUGAAGCGAACCCGGAGAACUGAAACAUCUCAGUACCCGGAGGAAAAGACAUCAACCGAGAUUCCGUUAGUAGUGGCGAGCGAACGCGGACCAGGCCAGUGCCUGGUGCUUAAUUAGCAGAACGAUCUGGAAAGUUCGGCCAUAGCGGGUGACAGCCCCGUAUGCGAAAAUGAAGCAUCAGGACUUGAGUAGGGCGGAGCACGUGAAACUCUGUCUGAACAUGGGGGGACCACCCUCCAAGCCUAAAUACUCGUACAUGACCGAUAGCGAACCAGUACCGUGAGGGAAAGGUGAAAAGCACCCCGAUGAGGGGAGUGAAACAGUACCUGAAACCGGAUGCCUACAAGCAGUGGGAGGGUCCUUGAGACCUGACCGCGUACCUCUUGCAUAAUGGGUCUGUGACUUAGUGUAUCAUGCAAGCUUAAGCCGUUAGGUGUAGGCGCAGCGAAAGCGAGUCUGAAUAGGGCGACUGAGUAUGAUGCAUUAGACCCGAAACCCGGCGAUCUAGGCAUGACCAGGUUGAAGGUGCGGUAACACGCACUGGAGGACCGAACCGUUUAAUGUUGAAAAAUUAUCGGAUGAGUUGUGUUUAGGGGUGAAAGGCCAAUCAAGCCGGGAAAUAGCUGGUUCUCCGCGAAAUCUAUUGAGGUAGAGCGUCGGAUGAUUGCCGUUGGGGGUAGAGCACUGGAUGGUUGCGGGGGUCGCGAGAUCUACCAAUACUAACCAAACUCCGAAUACCAACGAGUCUAGUCCGGCAGACAGACGGCGGGUGCUAAGGUCCGUCGUCAAAAGGGAAACAGCCCUAACCUACAGCUAAGGUCCCCAAGUCACGUCUAAGUGGGAAAGCAUGUGGGAUUUCCAAAACAACCAGGAGGUUGGCUUAGAAGCAGCCAUCCUUUAAAGAAAGCGUAACAGCUCACUGGUCUAAAUAAGAGAUCCUGCGGCGAAGAUGUAACGGGGCUCAAGACGUGCACCGAAGCUUAGGGUGUGAUCGUUUACGAUCACGCGGUAGCGGAGCGUUCCGUAGGCCGUUGAAGCGAUCUGGUAAUGGGUCGUGGAGGUAUCGGAAGUGCGAAUGCAGACAUGAGUAGCGAUUAACAGUGUGAGAUGCACUGUCGCCGAAAUUCCAAGGGUUCCUGCUUAAAGCUAAUCUGAGCAGGGUAAGCCGGCCCCUAAGACGAGCCCGAAGGGGGUAGUCGAUGGGAACCACGUUAAUAUUCGUGGGCCUGGAGGUGUGUGACGGAUGGCGUAAAUUGUUCGGCCUUAUUGGAUUGGUCCGGGCAGUGAAGUUGUCCCAGGAAAUAGCCCCUCCGUAUAGACCGUACCCUAAACCGACACAGGUGGAAUGGUAGAGUAUACCAAGGCGUUUGAGAGAAGUAUCCUGAAGGAACUCGGCAAAUUGCCUCCGUACCUUCGGAAGAAGGAGGCCCCACAUUAAGGCAACUUUUUGUGGGGGGCACAGGCCAGGGGGUAGCGACUGUUUAGCAAAAACACAGGGCUCUGCUAAGUCGGCUUCAAGACGACGUAUAGGGCCUGACGCCUGCCCGGUGCCUGAAGGUUAAGAGGAGGAGUGCAAGCUCUGAAUUGAAGCCCAGGUAAACGGCGGCCGUAACUAUAACGGUCCUAAGGUAGCGAAAUUCCUUGUCGGGUAAGUUCCGACCUGCACGAAUGGCGUAACGACUUCCCCACUGUCUCCAGGAUAUGCUCAGCGAAAUUGAAUUCUCCGUGAAGAUGCGGAGUACCCGCGGUUAGACGGAAAGACCCCGUGCACCUUUACUGCAGCUUCAGAGUGGCAUUAGGAAAGAACUGUGUAGCAUAGGUGGGAGGCUUUGAAGCGAUGACGCCAGUUGUCGUGGAGCCAUAGGUGAAAUACCACCCUGUUGUUUUCUGAUGUCUAACCUCGCACCGUUAUCCGGUGCAGGGACCCUCUGUGGCGGGUAGUUUGACUGGGGCGGUCGCCUCCUAAAGAGUAACGGAGGCGCGCGAUGGUGGGCUCAGGACGGUUGGAAACCGUCUGUUAGAGUGCAAUGGCAUAAGCCCGCCUGACUGCGAGACUGACAAGUCGAGCAGAGACGAAAGUCGGUCAUAGUGAUCCGGUGGUCCCUCGUGGAAGGGCCAUCGCUCAACGGAUAAAAGGUACGCCGGGGAUAACAGGCUGAUGAUUCCCAAGAGCUCAUAUCGACGGAAUCGUUUGGCACCUCGAUGUCGGCUCAUCACAUCCUGGGGCUGGAGCAGGUCCCAAGGGUUUGGCUGUUCGCCAAUUAAAGUGGUACGUGAGCUGGGUUCAGAACGUCGCGAGACAGUUUGGUCCCUAUCUGCCGUGGGCGUCGAAAUUUGAGAGGAGUUGACCCUAGUACGAGAGGACCGGGUUGAACAUACCUCUGGUGUACCUGUCGUCGUGCCAACGGCGCAGCAGGGUAGCUAUGUAUGGACGGGAUAACCGCUGAAAGCAUCUAAGCGGGAAGCCUCCCUCAAGAUAAGAUUUCUUCGAGCGGUCGUAGACCACGACCUUGAUAGGCCGGAUGUAGAAGUGUGGUAACAUAUGGAGCUAACCGGUCCUAAUUGCUCUGAUCGCGCCUGAG